RNAcentral lists this unclassified non-coding RNA (582 nucleotides) under Bombus terrestris (buff-tailed bumblebee). RNAcentral describes it as "misc RNA ENSBTSG00005022045.1". The record is from RNAcentral. Lineage: Eukaryota; Metazoa; Arthropoda; Insecta; Hymenoptera; Apidae.
AAUUUGGUUAAAUCAUAGUGGAACACGAACGGAAGGAAACGGAAACUUAUUUUUAAUGCGGAGGAUGUGGUUUUUGUCUUGUCAGUAUACACCGUCCUUCUAAAACUCUUCUUUAUGGAGAGGAAGUAGACACUAAAGUUGCGGUUUGCGGACAUUCAAAAACCGCGCGUUCCAUAUGCAGCACAGUUGUGGUGCUAAACCUCUUCUUUUUUCAGAAAGAGAAAAUAGAGCUGUUUUAUCAAUAAAAUUCACUUAUUUAAUCGUUCGAAACACUGAAACGUAGGAAAUCAAGAUAAUCUGUCAUUGUCGAAGUAUUUCCGAAAGCAGUCAGUUUUUAUCAGUUCCCCUGCUACAGUAGUGGCGAUGUUAACGAUAUUGAAACACUGAUACGGGGGCAGUUUUCAACAUCGCUUUGUGUCGCUGACGUUUAUGCUCUAAGGUAAUUAGAUAGUGGCCGACACAAGCGAUCGGCCAAGACUACCAACAAGACCAUCCCAGCAAUCUGCACGAACAUCUCGGUACACAUUAAUUCAAUUCCAUCGACGAAGUCAAUUUCGUAAAAAGCAUUUGCUAGGCGAUCAA